RNAcentral lists this ribosomal RNA (486 nucleotides) under uncultured bacterium. RNAcentral describes it as "partial 16S ribosomal RNA". It matches the Rfam family "Bacterial small subunit ribosomal RNA", at positions 30 to 507 of the family's 1533-position model. The record is from RNAcentral.
AUUGAACGCUGGCGGCAUGCCUUACACAUGCAAGUCGAACGGCAGCACGGGUGCUUGCACCUGGUGGCGAGUGGCGAACGGGUGAGUAAUACAUCGGAACAUGUCCUGUAGUGGGGGAUAGCCCGGCGAAAGCCGGAUUAAUACCGCAUACGAUCUACGGAUGAAAGCGGGGGCCCUUCGGGCCUCGCGCUAUAGGGUUGGCCGAUGGCUGAUUAGCUAGUUGGUGGGGUAAAGGCCUACCAAGGCGACGAUCAGUAGCUGGUCUGAGAGGACGACCAGCCACACUGGGACUGAGACACGGCCCAGACUCCUACGGGAGGCAGCAAUGGGGAAUUUUGGACAAUGGGCGAAAGCCUGAUCCAGCAAUGCCGCGUGUGUGAAGAAGGCCUUCGGGUUGUAAAGCACUUUUGGCCGGAAAGAAAUCCUUGGCCCUAAUACGGUCGGGGGAUGACGGUACCGGAAGAAUAAGCACCGGCUAACUACGUG